CCAAGAGAAAAUAUUGUUUGAACUAAGCAUUGAUCAGUAGUUUUCCCUUUUAAACCCUGGCUUCUAUUCCCAAAAGGGCAAAACCCUUGGGACUCUGUUGUAGUAGCUCUUAUCCUAGUUGUCUCACCAGAGUAGUAGAGCGAGAGACGGAGAUGGCUUGGCGCAGCGGAUCAUUUUCGAGGUCUUUGAUCUCCGCCGCAAGAGCUCCUUCGUUUCGGCCUCCACGGACGGUUCCCCGCUUUAGCGCGCCACCACUUGCUGCUCCUCGCCUGCAACCCCGCCGUUUUGCUUUCGCUAAUCCAAGGAUGAUGGGGGAGCUAGGGUGCACACAAUCGCUCCUUCCCCUGCAUAGCGUAGUGGCUGCCGCUCGCCUGACGUCACACCUCGCUGUCGACGCGCGUGCAUGUUGUGAGCUGUCUCAGGGUACCUUCUGUCGUACUUGUCAGGAUCGCUAGUAGUCUCUUUGGAAAAAUGGAAAAGAUGGGUGAUACGCGAGGCCGUCAAUGAUCCAAAGGCAGGAGAGUGAUGUUACACUGUACUUGAGUGAGCUGUUGGACAAGCACCGUGAAUGCAGCCGAUGAGUGCAAGUGGCAAUAGACUGGUAGAUGAUGUUAAAGCUUCUUUAUUUUGAUUAGGAGAAAUAAGAGAUUCUCCUUGUUCUCUUUUUUAGAAGAAACGUGGUAAUUGUGCAAUUUUGAGCAUGAUUAUUUAUCAGGGAGUCACUUUAUAUAUUUAGGUUUCCUUCUCAAGGUUAAGGUGUAGUCCUAUAAUUUUGAAAUGAUCUUAUUUUUAACUGAAUUGUUCUUAUAUCAUAUUUCUUUAACUUACGUUUCCUA
RNA transcript from Nelumbo nucifera (sacred lotus), 836 nucleotides. It is a transcript of the gene named caspase-6 protein, with no coding region annotated. The record is from RefSeq and is a predicted model, not a curated record. Lineage: Eukaryota; Viridiplantae; Streptophyta; Magnoliopsida; Proteales; Nelumbonaceae.